AUAGUAAAUUUUAUUGAGAUAUUUUACGUCGCUUAUCACAUCAUCAAAAGGUAAAAGUCUUAAGUUAAGAGGAGACGUGGCACCAUAAAAAUAUCAAUUCAACUCCGCCGAUUUCCGUCUUAGACUUAAAGUCUCAUCUGUCCCGCCACCUACCAGCUGUCCACGUUUUCUCGAAUAUUCCACCCUGCUGCACAUUCACGCUACCCUACCAUGUUCCAUCGUUCCCAACCGUUCGAUUGCCUACCUCCAUCUCACCCCUUCAUAUCCAAUACUUUUAACGGUUCAGAUUCAAAUUUUAAAAAUCUAGAUUUUAUCCAUAAUUAAAUAAUUUAUCAGAAAAUGGAAUUACGGUAUGAGGAAAACACGACAGCUUAAUCCAGGUCAAUUUUGCUGCCACCGAUACAUAAACCCUACCUCUAUAAAUACCCUCCCCCUUGCUCCAUCUUCUCUCCGUGCUCAUCUCCUAGUCUCUCUUUGAUUUUCUACUCACAUUGUUUUCUACUAAAUCAUAAUCAUCAUAAAAGAAAAAUGGCGAGCUUCUUCGACAGAUCUGCGGCUAUUGUCGCGGCGGUGGUGAUGGUGAUGAUUGCCGUGUUGUCUGCUUCAGUUUCUGCUCAAGAUUUUGGAAUGGCACCUGCUCCGUCUCCUUUCAUGGAGAGCGCCGGAUUUUUCUUUGCAGAUUUCUGCAGCUCUCAUCUGUUCUUCUUUGAUUUUCUCUAUGNNNNN
RNAcentral lists this long non-coding RNA (726 nucleotides) under Carica papaya (papaya). RNAcentral's name for it is "long non-coding RNA (CPAP_LNC004060)". Lineage: Eukaryota; Viridiplantae; Streptophyta; Magnoliopsida; Brassicales; Caricaceae. The record is from RNAcentral.